Molecule: ribosomal RNA, 418 nt
Filed under: Ensifer adhaerens
Lineage: Bacteria; Pseudomonadati; Pseudomonadota; Alphaproteobacteria; Hyphomicrobiales; Rhizobiaceae
Description: bacterial SSU rRNA
Rfam family: Bacterial small subunit ribosomal RNA
Source: RNAcentral
AGAGUUUGAUCCUGGCUCAGAACGAACGCUGGCGGCAGGCUUAACACAUGCAAGUCGAGCGCCCCGCAAGGGGAGCGGCAGACGGGUGAGUAACGCGUGGGAAUCUACCCUUUUCUACGGAAUAACGCAUGGAAACGUGUGCUAAUACCGUAUGAGCCCUUCGGGGGAAAGAUUUAUCGGGAAAGGAUGAGCCCGCGUUGGAUUAGCUAGUUGGUGGGGUAAAGGCCUACCAAGGCGACGAUCCAUAGCUGGUCUGAGAGGAUGAUCAGCCACAUUGGGACUGAGACACGGCCCAAACUCCUACGGGAGGCAGCAGUGGGGAAUAUUGGACAAUGGGCGCAAGCCUGAUCCAGCCAUGCCGCGUGAGUGAUGAAGGCCCUAGGGUUGUAAAGCUCUUUCACCGGUGAAGAUAAAGACG